RNAcentral lists this ribosomal RNA (686 nucleotides) under bacterium MS-AsIII-09. RNAcentral describes it as "bacterial SSU rRNA". It matches the Rfam family "Bacterial small subunit ribosomal RNA", at positions 106 to 781 of the family's 1533-position model. The record is from RNAcentral.
GUGAGUAACACGUGGGCAACUGCUGUAAGACUGGGAUAACUCCGGGAAACCGGGGCUAAUACCGGAUAAUUCUUUCCCUCACAUGAGGGAAAGCUGAAAGAUGGCAUCUCGCUAUCACUUACAGAUGGGCCCGCGGCGCAUUAGCUAGUUGGUGAGGUAACGGCUCACCAAGCACGAUGCGUAGCCGACCUGAGAGGGUGAUCGGCCACACUGGGACUGAGACACGGCCCAGACUCCUACGGGAGGCAGCAGUAGGGAAUCUUCCGCAAUGGACGAAAGUCUGACGGAGCAACGCCGCGUGAGUGAUGAAGGUUUUCGGAUCGUAAAACUCUGUUGUCAGGGAAGAACAAGUACCGGAGUAACUGCCGGUACCUUGACGGUACCUGACCAGAAAGCCACGGCUAACUACGUGCCAGCAGCCGCGGUAAUACGUAGGUGGCAAGCGUUGUCCGGAAUUAUUGGGCGUAAAGCGCGCGCAGGCGGUUCCUUAAGUCUGAUGUGAAAGCCCCCGGCUCAACCGGGGAGGGUCAUUGGAAACUGGGGAACUUGAGUGCAGAAGAGAAGAGUGGAAUUCCACGUGUAGCGGUGAAAUGCGUAGAGAUGUGGAGGAACACCAGUGGCGAAGGCGACUCUUUGGUCUGUAACUGACGCUGAGGCGCGAAAGCGUGGGGAGCAAACAGGAUUAG